RNAcentral lists this ribosomal RNA (233 nucleotides) under uncultured bacterium. RNAcentral's name for it is "partial 16S ribosomal RNA". It matches the Rfam family "Bacterial small subunit ribosomal RNA", at positions 29 to 245 of the family's 1533-position model. The record is from RNAcentral.
AACGAACGCUGGCGGCGCGCCUAAUACAUGCAAGUCGAACGAGAAGCUGUAGCAAUACAGUUGUACAGUGGCGAACGGGUGAGGAAUACAUGGGUGACCUACCCUCGAGUGGGGAAGUAACCAGCCGAAAGGUUGGCUAAUAACCGCGUACGCUUCCCACGUCUACGGGUUGGGAAGGAAAGACGAUGCCGUCGGGUAGUCGCGCUCAAGGUUGGGCGUCAUGUCCUAUCAGC